UGCCAGCCGCCGCGGUAACACGAACCGUACGAACGUUGUUCGGAGUUAUUGGGCGUAAAGCGCGUGUAGGCGGUUCGUUAAGUCUGAUGUGAAAGCCCGGGGCUCAACCCCGGAAGUGCAUUGGAAACUGGCGAACUUGAGUACGGGAGAGGAAAGUGGAAUUCCGAGUGUAGGGGUGAAAUCCGUAGAUAUUCGGAGGAACACCAGUGGCGAAGGCGGCUAACUGGACCGGAACUGACGCUGAUGCACGAAAGCGUGGGUAGCAAACAGGAUUAGAUA
RNAcentral lists this ribosomal RNA (279 nucleotides) under uncultured bacterium. RNAcentral's name for it is "partial 16S ribosomal RNA". It matches the Rfam family "Bacterial small subunit ribosomal RNA", at positions 506 to 784 of the family's 1533-position model. The record is from RNAcentral.